This 292-nucleotide ribosomal RNA is filed under the name uncultured Alphaproteobacteria bacterium. RNAcentral describes it as "partial 16S ribosomal RNA". The record is from RNAcentral. Lineage: Bacteria; Pseudomonadati; Pseudomonadota; Alphaproteobacteria.
GGACUACUGGGGUUUCUAAUCCUGUUUGAUCCCCACGCUUUCGCGCCUCAGCGUCAGUUGUCGUCCAGAUAGCCGCCUUCGCCACCGGUGUUCCUGCUAAUAUCUACGAAUUUCACCUCUACAUUAGCAAUUCCGCUAUCCCCUCCGACACUCCAGCUUGACAGUUUCAAAGGCAAUUCUGGGGUUAAGCCCCAGGAUUUCACCCCUGACUUGACAAGCCGCCUACGCGCGCUUUACGCCCAGUAAUUCCGAACAACGCUAGCACCCUUCGUAUUACCGCGGCUGCUGGCAC